AUGCAGCCAAAGAUCAACACUGCUUUGAAUGUUGAGUCAAAAGAUGUACUUGGCCAAGCUUGGGCAAAGUUUUUUCAUGCUAAUGACAUUGCUGGUCUGAAAGCAAAUUGUCCCUAUUUUCGUGCGGCUGUCAAGAUAACUCAAAACCUUGGCCCAGCUCCUGUUCCAACUGCCAAGGAGAUUGAUGGGAUAUAUUUGGACAAGAAUUAUGAAGAAGCUGAGCAGUGGUUGAACAUGUUCAAGCAAGACUGGAGGAACUAUGGUGUAACUGUGGUGUGUGACUCAUGGACAGGGCCUACUGGUAUGAGUCUCAUCAAUUUCAUGGUGUAUUGCAAUGCACGGAUGUUCUUUCAUAAAUCCAUUGAUGCUUCUGGUCAAUCUCAGACUGCAGGUUAG
This 396-nucleotide ribosomal RNA is filed under the name Triticum aestivum (bread wheat). RNAcentral's name for it is "partial small subunit ribosomal RNA". The record is from RNAcentral. Lineage: Eukaryota; Viridiplantae; Streptophyta; Magnoliopsida; Poales; Poaceae.